GGGUUGUGAGGUUAAGCGACUAAGCGUACACGGUGGAUGCCCUGGCAGUCAGAGGCGAUGAAGGACGUGCUAAUCUGCGAUAAGCGUCGGUAAGGUGAUAUGAACCGUUAUAACCGGCGAUUUCCGAAUGGGGAAACCCAGUGUGUUUCGACACACUAUCAUUAACUGAAUCCAUAGGUUAAUGAGGCGAACCGGGGGAACUGAAACAUCUAAGUACCCCGAGGAAAAGAAAUCAACCGAGAUUCCCCCAGUAGCGGCGAGCGAACGGGGAGCAGCCCAGAGCCUGAAUCAGUGUGUGUGUUAGUGGAAGCGUCUGGAAAGGCGCGCGAUACAGGGUGACAGCCCCGUACACAAAAAUGCACAUGCUGUGAGCUCGAUGAGUAGGGCGGGACACGUGGUAUCCUGUCUGAAUAUGGGGGGACCAUCCUCCAAGGCUAAAUACUCCUGACUGACCGAUAGUGAACCAGUACCGUGAGGGAAAGGCGAAAAGAACCCCGGCGAGGGGAGUGAAAAAGAACCUGAAACCGUGUACGUACAAGCAGUGGGAGCACGCUUCGGCGUGUGACUGCGUACCUUUUGUAUAAUGGGUCAGCGACUUAUAUUCUGUAGCAAGGUUAACCGAAUAGGGGAGCCGAAGGGAAACCGAGUCUUAACUGGGCGUUAAGUUGCAGGGUAUAGACCCGAAACCCGGUGAUCUAGCCAUGGGCAGGUUGAAGGUUGGGUAACACUAACUGGAGGACCGAACCGACUAAUGUUGAAAAAUUAGCGGAUGACUUGUGGCUGGGGGUGAAAGGCCAAUCAAACCGGGAGAUAGCUGGUUCUCCCCGAAAGCUAUUUAGGUAGCGCCUCGUGAAUUCAUCUCCGGGGGUAGAGCACUGUUUCGGCAAGGGGGUCAUCCCGACUUACCAACCCGAUGCAAACUGCGAAUACCGGAGAAUGUUAUCACGGGAGACACACGGCGGGUGCUAACGUCCGUCGUGAAGAGGGAAACAACCCAGACCGCCAGCUAAGGUCCCAAAGUCAUGGUUAAGUGGGAAACGAUGUGGGAAGGCCCAGACAGCCAGGAUGUUGGCUUAGAAGCAGCCAUCAUUUAAAGAAAGCGUAAUAGCUCACUGGUCGAGUCGGCCUGCGCGGAAGAUGUAACGGGGCUAAACCAUGCACCGAAGCUGCGGCAGCGACGCUUAUGCGUUGUUGGGUAGGGGAGCGUUCUGUAAGCCUGUGAAGGUGUACUGUGAGGUAUGCUGGAGGUAUCAGAAGUGCGAAUGCUGACAUAAGUAACGAUAAAGCGGGUGAAAAGCCCGCUCGCCGGAAGACCAAGGGUUCCUGUCCAACGUUAAUCGGGGCAGGGUGAGUCGACCCCUAAGGCGAGGCCGAAAGGCGUAGUCGAUGGGAAACAGGUUAAUAUUCCUGUACUUGGUGUUACUGCGAAGGGGGGACGGAGAAGGCUAUGUUGGCCGGGCGACGGUUGUCCCGGUUUAAGCGUGUAGGCUGGUUUUCCAGGCAAAUCCGGAAAAUCAAGGCUGAGGCGUGAUGACGAGGCACUACGGUGCUGAAGCAACAAAUGCCCUGCUUCCAGGAAAAGCCUCUAAGCAUCAGGUAACAUCAAAUCGUACCCCAAACCGACACAGGUGGUCAGGUAGAGAAUACCAAGGCGCUUGAGAGAACUCGGGUGAAGGAACUAGGCAAAAUGGUGCCGUAACUUCGGGAGAAGGCACGCUGAUAUGUAGGUGAAGUCCCUUGCGGAUGGAGCUGAAAUCAGUCGAAGAUACCAGCUGGCUGCAACUGUUUAUUAAAAACACAGCACUGUGCAAACACGAAAGUGGACGUAUACGGUGUGACGCCUGCCCGGUGCCGGAAGGUUAAUUGAUGGGGUCAGCGCAAGCGAAGCUCUUGAUCGAAGCCCCGGUAAACGGCGGCCGUAACUAUAACGGUCCUAAGGUAGCGAAAUUCCUUGUCGGGUAAGUUCCGACCUGCACGAAUGGCGUAAUGAUGGCCAGGCUGUCUCCACCCGAGACUCAGUGAAAUUGAACUCGCUGUGAAGAUGCAGUGUACCCGCGGCAAGACGGAAAGACCCCGUGAACCUUUACUAUAGCUUGACACUGAACAUUGAGCCUUGAUGUGUAGGAUAGGUGGGAGGCUUAGAAGUGUGGACGCCAGUCUGCAUGGAGCCGACCUUGAAAUACCACCCUUUAAUGUUUGAUGUUCUAACGUUGACCCGUAAUCCGGGUUGCGGACAGUGUCUGGUGGGUAGUUUGACUGGGGCGGUCUCCUCCUAAAGAGUAACGGAGGAGCACGAAGGUUGGCUAAUCCUGGUCGGACAUCAGGAGGUUAGUGCAAUGGCAUAAGCCAGCUUGACUGCGAGCGUGACGGCGCGAGCAGGUGCGAAAGCAGGUCAUAGUGAUCCGGUGGUUCUGAAUGGAAGGGCCAUCGCUCAACGGAUAAAAGGUACUCCGGGGAUAACAGGCUGAUACCGCCCAAGAGUUCAUAUCGACGGCGGUGUUUGGCACCUCGAUGUCGGCUCAUCACAUCCUGGGGCUGAAGUAGGUCCCAAGGGUAUGGCUGUUCGCCAUUUAAAGUGGUACGCGAGCUGGGUUUAGAACGUCGUGAGACAGUUCGGUCCCUAUCUGCCGUGGGCGCUGGAGAACUGAGGGGGGCUGCUCCUAGUACGAGAGGACCGGAGUGGACGCAUCACUGGUGUUCGGGUUGUCAUGCCAAUGGCACUGCCCGGUAGCUAAAUGCGGAAGAGAUAAGUGCUGAAAGCAUCUAAGCACGAAACUUGCCCCGAGAUGAGUUCUCCCUGACUCCUUGAGAGUCCUGAAGGAACGUUGAAGACGACGACGUUGAUAGGCCGGGUGUGUAAGCGCAGCGAUGCGUUGAGCUAACCGGUACUAAUGAACCGUGAGGCUUAACCUUACAACGCCGAAG
Molecule: ribosomal RNA, 2925 nt
Filed under: Escherichia coli
Lineage: Bacteria; Pseudomonadati; Pseudomonadota; Gammaproteobacteria; Enterobacterales; Enterobacteriaceae
Description: 23S ribosomal RNA
Rfam family: Bacterial large subunit ribosomal RNA
Source: RNAcentral